RNAcentral lists this long non-coding RNA (8926 nucleotides) under Capsicum annuum. RNAcentral describes it as "long non-coding RNA (CANN_LNC019249)". The record is from RNAcentral. Lineage: Eukaryota; Viridiplantae; Streptophyta; Magnoliopsida; Solanales; Solanaceae.
UAUUUUGAUCGACAAAAUUCUGCAUAUAGCUCUGCAAGUUCUAAUUUUCCUGUUUUACAACAAGGGAAUAGAACUCUGAUCAAUUCAAAAAUUCAGGGUGAUGCAUCAUCCUCAUCGAAAGCUCUGAAUAUUGGUUCUUCUGUCCAUUUAAAAGACAUUCCUGAAAAUCAUCCAUUAUACAAACAACUGCAAUCUUAUCUAUCAGAUCAACAAAAAACUGCAGAUUCUUUUGCGUCCAUAGUUCAAGAAAAUUCUGAAGAUAAGCCUUCAUAUGAAAAACUGGAUGCUAGAGAACUUAUAUUAUAUAUUGAAAAUCAGCAUAUUCCCGGACAAGAAAAUUCUGAAGAAGCAUGGAGACUACUAAAAAAUUACCUUACUGCCAAUGUAUAUUUUGCUGGCGAAUCAUACAAAACUCGGACUUAUUAUGAACACAUAUUAGUGCAAACUUUCAGUGCAACCUUUGAUCACAGUCCCCUAGGAGAAACUACCCCAGGAGUUCAUGGAUACUCCAAAAUGUUUACCUUCAGUUUAAAUUCAUUUUUAAGUGUUGCUUUGAUUUUUUUUUAAACCUAAUUGUGUGACUUUUUGUGCAUAUUUUGUGGUAUUUUGAGAUUUUAUACUUAAUAUUUUUUAAAUAGAUUUAUAUCGUUUAAUUGACAUAAUUUAUGUUCAUUAGAUUGUGACCUGAUCUAGAAGAAUGCAGCGAGAUGAAAAUUUUCAAGUAAGAUUCGAAGCUUUGUUGUAUUCAGAAAAUAUAAUAAAAUUUAAAUUUUUAAUUUUUAUAAUUAUAAUUGAUUUGGAGUCGUGAUAAAAGCGUUUUGUUUUUUGGCAUUAUAUUAAUAAAUUAUUAAAAUUAAACAUAAAUAAAUAAAGUGUGAAGGUCCUCCUUAGAAAGAACUUAUUGUGAAUCAUUAAAAGACUCUACAAUAAAUAAAAUUGAUAUUUAUUAUUUUUCUCAAUUUUUUGUUUCAUUUUUUAAUUUUAAUUUAUGUUAUUAUAAUUAGUUACGAGUCAUAAUAAAAGUAUUUUAUUUUUUUCUUUUGAAUUAUAUUAAUAGGUUAUUAAUCUUAAUUAUAAAUUAAUAAAGUUUGAAGGUCCUUAAAACAAUAGAGAAAAUUAUUAUUUACUAUUUUUAUUUAAUUAUUUUAUAAUAUUUCUCCUAAAAUAUGUAGAAAUAAUUGUGAUAAAAUAAAUACUCUUAAACCAUGAAAGAUUAAGAAUUUGUAAAAUAUAUUAUAUUAAAGGGUAAUUAAUGUCAAUAUGAAGUAGUUGAUACGAAAUUUUUUUUGGAGACGCGUUAGACAUAAAAUAAUUGAACUCAUAAAUAGAAAUAUAGAAAUACAAAAUUAGAAGGUAGUUUCUAAGGGCUGAUGAUUUCUUUUUCACUUUUAAAGUUGAAACAUUGCUGUCUAAGGAAUGACUUUGUGGUACAAUCAAACUUAUGUACAUUGUACAACAUAAAUAUGAUUAUCUAGAAUUAUUUAGUUAAUUAGAUCUUAGUAUUUUGCUAUUUUUUUUAUUUCCUUUUUUUGUAAUUAUGUGUCUCACACUUUUUUUCUUUUUGAGUCGAGGGUCUAUGGAAAAUAAUCUCUACCUCACAAUAUAUAAGGUAAAAUCUGCAUACAUUCUAUAUUUUUCAGGCUUCAUUUUAAAAUUAAAUUGGACGUGUUGUUCUUCUUUAUUAUGUUGAAAUUAAAUUCUAUAUUUUUUAAAUUUCAUUUUAAAUUAAAUUGGAUGUGUUGUUCUUCUUUAUUAUGUUUAAAUUAACGAUAUUAAAUAUAAUAUUUACUUUUAUUUUAUAAAACAUAUUUAUUUUGCAUAUUUUAUGGAUUAACGUUACACGUAUAUUCAACACAUGUACACUUUUAUAUGUAACUGUUUUGUGUCGGUGUGAUACAUUUGUUAGUUACUUUGAGAAUUAUACUUUUUGUUAUUAAGGAUAAUCUUAGAUCAAAUAAUAAAUUCGUUAUUUUCAAAAACUGAAAUUCGCAUCUACUGUAAGCUUCAUUUUUAUUACACAUAAGUUAGAUAAAUUUUCUUUUUAAGUCACGUAUUAUAUUAAAAUAUUAUUAUUUUAAAUUUGUAUCUUACGAAAUGAACGGCGGCAGCCAAUUUAGUUACUCAUGUCAACAAAUUAGGUAAUAAGCUUGCAUAUGAUAGUGAUCGAAAAACUUAAAGGAAUUUAAAGAGUACGUCAAUCACCUCUCAAUCUUACAUUAAAUGAAUUUUAUAUUAAAAAAUAUUUGGAUUCUUUAUUAUAGUUAAUCCCUAAUUAAAAUGUUGAUUGACGUUUUUUGUAAAAAAAUACUCGACAUAAGUACACGCGCAAAGCAUAUACACUAAACUAGUUUUACCAAUUACGGAUAAUCCUGUUAAAUAACUAAUAAAGAUACAUUUGGGUACUCCUAAAAUUAAUGGGGUAUGGAACAUACUCUUUAGUCACCAUCAACUUAGUCCUAACCUAAUACAAAAAUAUUUUGUUUAGUCCUAAGGUAAAAUUACUAGUACAAUUAUACUCAUUAGUAAGUUUUCAAAUGGAAAAAAUUAUAACUUAAUUAAGAGGGCAAGUAAGCCAAUUAACUUUUAGUGAAUAUUUUGAUCACUCAACAUUGUCAUUCAUGCUUCUAUAAUAAUAUAAAUAGAUCAUUGUUCAAAAAUUUUGGUGAGUGUCUGCCGUCUUACCUUACAUGAGUUAGUAAUAGUUUCAAAAAAAAAUUAAAAAAAUAAAACACUAGCAUAUAUAAAUAACUAGUUUUAUAAAAUCCGGACUCAAACUCAAAUAAUUUAAUAUUUUAUACAGUAAUAUGAUUAAAUAUGUAAAAUAAUGACAACUUUCAAAGAUCAUAAAUUGAAAAGCGUUGAUACUUUUAUGAGAUUAUGAACAUACAUUCUAUAGCUAUAAAUAAAAAAUAUAUUUCUUAUAUUAAGUCAUAGUUUUAUUCAUAAUUUCACGUGACAAAAAUUUAAGUUAUUUAAUAUGAUAAUUUAUACUUAGUUUUACUUUAAAUUAAAAAAAAUUGAAUUCAUCAAAAAUAAACUUCGAAAAUCUAUCAGUUCUUAUAUUUAAUUUAUGCCUAAGAAUAUUAAUUCUCAAAUAAUCAAAAAAGAUAUUUUAAAAAUAAUUUGAUCUUAAUUGAUACUACUACCUUCAUUUUUAACUUUAUCAAUAAUUUUAACUUUCAAUAUUUGAAAGAUUUUAUGGAUAAUUUCAAAAGUAGGUCUAAAUUUUUUCGUAAAAAAAUUCUAUUCAAUUUGUAAAAAAAUAAUUAGGAAAUAUUGAGAAUCAUACUUAGCUCAUCAGAAAUAAAUAUAGUCUUACACAAUUAAUUAAAAGAUUUACCGAUUAGUUAAAUAAUUUUUUUUUAAAAUAAUUCAGUUAAUUGUCAGCCUAAACUCUCACCUUAUUGGCGAAGGUUUGAUUCUCCAUUUUAUUCCUCCCUAUUUCCUUAUUUUAAAAAAUAGUUAAGCAAUUAAAAAUUCAAGAAAAAACUCAAUAAUAAUUUCUCAUAUUAUAACAAACCACAUAUAAAGUCUCAUUUGACAAAUAAAGAAAUAAAGUAGUUUUAUCUUUAUCAAAUACAUGCCAUAAUUUUAGUGGAUUAAUAAAUUAAUUAAAAUUAUUAAAAUAACCUUUUGAGGACUACCAAAGUUUAUUAUUGUCUUUUAUAUAUAAUAGUAAAAAUUUAUUAUUCUCUCUUAUAUAUAAUAGUAAAGUAAUUUGCUUUGCUAUAAAAAAAAUAAAAUGCUAUCAUAAAUAUCAUAGUUAAUUUUUUCUUUUUACUUUUAGCAAAAGAAAAAUAAAAGAAAUCACAUCUAGGUAAUUUUUCUUGAAGGAAAAGGUUCUGAACUACUUUAAAUUAAGAACUCUUUCAUUACAACAAUAUAAUAUUCACAAUGUAAAAUUUAGUCGCAGAGAUAUUUUUAUAAUUAUUUUUUGAUGAGCUCUAAAGGUGCUAGCUCAAGGAGUACCAAAAAAAUGUGCUAAGAUCGCCGGGGGGACAGGGGGGACUCUUGGAGACUCCUGUAGGUAAUAAGAAACUUAUAAAACGAAAGUUAUUGCGUGUUAUUCUAAUAUCUCGAUAUCAUAUUGUUUUUUGUAAUUUUUAUUUUGCUAGUCAUAUUGUAGGUUAACAUUCGCUCUGACUUUGCGAUUUUUUUGUCUAAAGGUUAGGUUUAAUUAUAUCAUUCUAAUAUCUCAAUUAUUAUAGUUUCUUUUCAGUCACUAUCUGUUGUUUUUUCUGCUUAAUAUAGGUAGCGAUGAGUGUUGAUUUGGCUUUGAAAUUUUUUUUCUGUAAAUAUUAGAUUUAAUCAUAUUGUUUUGAUAUCUUGAUUAACAUAUUAUUUUGGUGUGAUUUACAGGUGGUUGAUGAAUGUUCGAUCGAAAUUUGAUGAACUUUAUGUAAAGUUUAGGUUGUCGAAUCUAUAUAUAAUAUAAAGGAAGGUCACAGAGAAAGUGACAUGACACCUAUUUAUGACCUUCAUUCCUAUUUUUCUAUUUUCUCCUUUUUUUUUCCUUUUUUAAUUUUUUAUCCUAUUUUUUAAUGCUGUAAUAAUAAAUGACUCUAUAAUUAAUAUUCCACAUACUAAUGAAAUACUUUAUUGUUCCAGCCACUUAGAUUCCUUAUUUAUGGAAGAAAAAGAAUUGAAAAAGUCUUUAGCAAUGAGAAGAAUAAAACCACAAGUAUUUAUACACCAAAAUAUUAGUCCAAUUUCGACAAUUCAGUCACACCCGUUACAUAUCUUAAACCCAUUUACCAACUACAAUUAAACCUAUUUAAUUUACAUUAGUCAUUCACUCAUAUUCUCAGUAAACCAAUAUCAAAGAAAUCCUUNNNNNNNNNNNNNNNNNNNNNNNNNNNNNNNNNNNNNNNNNNNNNNNNNNNNNNNNNNNNNNNNNNNNNNNNNNNNNNNNNNNCAAUUAUCAAGAAAUGAAUUUAUCUUUUUUCUUUUUUUUUUUGGGGGGAGUCUUUUUCCUUUUUAAGUGAUAAAAAAAUGAGUACUAUCCAUUUAAAAAAUAAUCAAACGUCGCUAUUAAAAAAAAACUGUCGACAUAAAUACACUUAAUUAGGGAUUGAGUUUAAUUUGCAGCAUCGUUUUCUUCUUCUUUUCCACUUCCUCCCAAGAGUCUUUUUCAGUUCCACUUCUUCUUGCCGUCGCCACAGUAAUUUCUUACUACUGUCUUUUCAUUUUAUCCCGAUCUUUUGGUCCACUUAAAUUUCUUCAAUGUGAUUUUGUUAUUGGCUUUAUUUCUCUCAUGUUUGAGAAACGUUUCAUGACAGCAAAAAAUUGACAACAAACAUUGACUUGUGUGCGCGAAUAGAAGCAGAAAACUAAAAAAAUUCUUUUAUGAAGUUUUGCUGAUUAAGAUUAUAUUGCAUGCAUAGGAAGCCAGCUUUACUCCAACAAGAGAGAAGACCAUGAGUAUGCUAAGUUUUUCUUUUUCUUAUAAGUGUAGACUAAAAUUCAUAAGACACCAUAUAAUCAAUAAAGACUGAGAGUGAAACGAGUGAGAAAACAUAGGAGUUUUAGUACUUUCUUGGACUUCCUUUCUAAUCUUUUUGUUAUUUUAUUGUACUUUUUGAAAUUGAUUAAAUAUUAUUUCUAUUUCUUUUAAAAAAAUUAUUCUACUUUUUGGAAUUGCUACAAUAUUAUUUCAAUUUUUUUUUUUUUUAAAUUUCAUAAGCAGUGUUUAGAGCAACUUUUUUAACUUGACAAUCAUAUAAUAAUAUUUAUUUAUAAAAUAGGAGCAAAAACUUAGUUGUAUUAUUAUUAGGAAUCAACUUAUGUGAUUUGGUAAACUCUUUACGAAGGAAUAGUCUGACCGAUUAUACCAAAGAUGAGAUGGAGCGAAGGGGAUGUUUGGGUUAGCUUCUUUGAAGUGAUUUAUAAGCUAAGAGUUGAAAGUUGUCUUUUUUUACUAUGUAAGAGGGUGUUUGGAUUGAUUUAUUUUAAGGGAUUUUGACUUUUAAACACUUUAUUUUAGGUUUAAGAAGUAUCCAAAAAUGCCAAAAAUCAAUGUUUUGUCUCCUUUCGGAUUUUAUUUUAAAGAAAAUGAUUUUGAUCCUUUUUAAACUAUUUCGAAAGAUUCAAGAGAGUUUCGAAAUAAUUUUUGACAAAAUUUAUAGAUUCGUCACUUGAUUUUUUAUCGAAAAUAUCAAGAAAAACUCUAAAGGGAUUUCAAAGAUUUAAAAAUAGUAAUAAAUUUUCGAAAUCAGAGAAACUGAGUUAAUGCCCUAAGAAAAUUUUUACGGCACUUAUAAGCGACCGUUUUAAAACAGUUCACCAAAAGAUUUAUUUUUGACUAAUUUAAAAGGGUAACUAACAUUACAAAAAGGAACAAAAAAAUUACUUGUAUAAAAUUAUUUAUUUACAUGUUCAAAAUUUGACUUCUUGUUUGUUUCAACGAAAAAUAGUCUACUUGAAUUAGAAAGAAGUUGCAACAUGUUUCGCUUGAUUUACUUAAUUCAUGAUUAUUUCUAAGAAAGGAUAUGAAAUAUCUUACUUGAAUUAAAAGAAGCCUAUCUAGACUAGGUGACACAUUUGAAUUUAAAAAGAAAAUAUGUUGAUUUUUAUGGGGAAAGAGGAUCAUAUAAUUAUUUAUUGUCAUAAGAAUGGUCAUUUUGUCAUGGCUAACACCUUUGAAAAAACAUUAAGAAAGUAUCAUAUUAAAACAUUUUAUCGAUGGUAGAAAGUUGAAAUUUACGAGAAAAUAACUUUUCGAGUUCGAAGAGAAUUAUAUGUUUUUUUUUAUCUAAAUAGACUAUUUAGUCGUGUGAACAAAACAAAUAUCAUUUGGACUAAGUAUUCAUUUUUUUUAUUUCUUUUUAUGAAUUAAGUGGGAAAAUUAUACGAUAAAUGAGAGAUUCGAGAUAAAUGAAAAGGCAAAAACGUGGGAAAUCACUAGGUUAAUUAAGUAGAAUCGUCAUAAUUUUAAUAUUUUUUUUAGGUACAAGCUAUAUCAUUUAAAUAAAUAUAAAAUUUGGAGGCAAAAAUCUACAAUAAUUGUUGUGAUAUAUUUUCUAAUAUAGUAUCAAAAUGAUUUUAUAAAAAUGAAUUCAUUGAAGCGAGGUACACGCACGGAUUGCGAAACCUAAACUAGUAUAUAUAUAUAUGUGUGUUAGCUAUAUGUUAGCACAUUUAAUUAAUAAAUUGGGUAAAGAUGUCUCAUAAUUAGGUGAUAAAAGAGUAAGACAAGAUAUAUGUUGGUAGGUAUGAAUUUGGUACACUGGUAAGCUUUUAUAGACGAGUCAACACACACAAUUUGCCAUUUUAAGGAAUAGAUACCCAACAAAACUGAUUGUUCCUGUAUAUGCCAAAGACACAAACUUUCUGAACCAAGUAAACAAAAGGCAUUACCAUUAAAAUGCAUGAAUCAACGAAUAAGCACACGAUACAAAUUCUACCCAACCAAAAAUAGGACUCCAACACCUUUCUAGCAUGCAUAUAUUGUACACAAGACCACAUUCCUAAAAAACAGAUACGAACAAAACUAGCAUUUCGUCAAAACGCAUAAAUCGAGAAAACUAAAUGCAAUUUCAACAUAAUAAUCUAAUUAAAAAAAAACAAUGCAAGACAUGUAUUUUCCUGCAAGUGAAGUAUUCAAGAUUUAGAGCAUAUAACAGGACACCACAUAACCACUGUUCUACCAUGAAUAUACUUUAACACAAAACCCGGAAAAGAUAAAACACACAAGAGAGAAAAUGACAUUCUUAGCUUUUGUGAGCAUGACAUAAUGGUGAACCAUACUUUCUUCAUAUAAUUCAAAACAACCCACAUACCAACAACGCACUGUCGAAAGUUUGAAAUUUCCAACAAUUCACACAUAAUCGAGAAAACUCUUAAUUCCGAUCGAUUCUACUAUCAUUACCACAGUCCAUAUCCACAAUCAUUGCAGCAUUUUCAUAUUUACGACAUCCAAACGUGAAGAAAAAGAAUGUAGCAAAGACGACUGUUCACCUGUUUUCGAGCAGCAACACCGGGACGAAGAGCUUUCAAUCGAAUGAGAUUCCACCACCUCGAGUUGAUUCUAACCAACAGAAUUUGAACGAGAACAUCGAAUUCCGAUAUUCCGACGGUCUUCGAGAAUUUUGGUUUCGUGAGGUUAAACGCAAGCACCUUCAGAACCCCUAAUUUUCCCCCAAAAUCCUCCUCCUUACCCCUUCUCCUUAGCAUCUAUUUAUAGGUAAUUUCGUAUUUUUUUUUAUUUUUUUUUUUUUGGGGGGGGGGGGGGGGUUGUGAUUAGGGCUUUGAAUUUGAACUUUUUUGGAAAAGUCAAGGGAUUUUGAAAUCCACAAUGACAGAAAUGCAGAGUGAAAUUUGCACCAAAUUGGUACAAAAUUCAGAACGGAAAAGUUAGAAGGCAAGAAAAGAGACCGGAUUUGGACAUUUAAGAAGGUGAAAUUCAAGCCAAAAAGAGGUUGCACACGGGGGUAAAUCAGUAAUAAAGGAAAGGGGGAACAACUGGGUUUUUUCUCGUUGAAGGCUAUUGCUGUUACUGCGUUGGAACUGUUGUUUGCGUUACAGCGUACAACGCUGUUUGUUGCUGGUGUACGCGUUGUUGAACGCCGUUGAUGUUGUCGGCUAUUAUGGUCGUUGUUGGUUAUUGUUUUGGCUGAGGCUGAUAACGUUUUGUACAGUGGUUGUUGUACGCUGUAUAAGGGAAAUUAAUGAAAAGGGGAAAUAAGGGUUUCGGCCAGGUCGGUUUGGUGGAUUGGGCUGGUGAGGGUAAGCUGCUGUUGUUAUUUUUGAUGGGAAUUGGGCUGUUAGCCAAAUUUCAAAGAGGAUUGGGUCGGGUUUAUAAUGGAGUGGGCUGGGGUUAUGGGCUGAUUAUGGAUAAUUAUAAUUUAGUCAAUUUAAUUUGAAAUCUAGCCAGAUUAAAAAUUAAUCUGUCAGUUGUAUUUAAUAUGGCCAAAUUCAAUUAAUCGAU